CGAGAAGGUGGGCGAAGCGGUUCAUGCCGAGGCCUCGGCGGUCUCGGCGCCUUGCGCCGGAUCGAACUCGGCCUCGCCGUC
This 81-nucleotide transfer RNA is filed under the name Methylobacterium thuringiense. RNAcentral's name for it is "tRNA-Pro". Lineage: Bacteria; Pseudomonadati; Pseudomonadota; Alphaproteobacteria; Hyphomicrobiales; Methylobacteriaceae. The record is from RNAcentral.